This 247-nucleotide ribosomal RNA is filed under the name Vibrio vulnificus. RNAcentral's name for it is "partial 16S ribosomal RNA". It matches the Rfam family "Bacterial small subunit ribosomal RNA", at positions 207 to 453 of the family's 1533-position model. The record is from RNAcentral. Lineage: Bacteria; Pseudomonadati; Pseudomonadota; Gammaproteobacteria; Vibrionales; Vibrionaceae.
CGGGCCUCUCGCGUCAGGAUAUGCCCAGGUGGGAUUAGCUAGUUGGUGAGGUAAGGGCUCACCAAGGCGACGAUCCCUAGCUGGUCUGAGAGGAUGAUCAGCCACACUGGAACUGAGACACGGUCCAGACUCCUACGGGAGGCAGCAGUGGGGAAUAUUGCACAAUGGGCGCAAGCCUGAUGCAGCCAUGCCGCGUGUGUGAAGAAGGCCUUCGGGUUGUAAAGCACUUUCAGUCGUGAGGAAGGUG